Molecule: long non-coding RNA, 431 nt
Organism: Trifolium pratense (red clover)
Lineage: Eukaryota; Viridiplantae; Streptophyta; Magnoliopsida; Fabales; Fabaceae
Exons: 4
Source: RefSeq, a predicted model, not a curated record
AGUCACUGGAUAAGGAGGCUAGAAACAAUCUUACACCAUUGAAAUUAAGAGCAAAGGCUGCUAAGUUUGCCAAAUACACUGUUAAAAAUCAGAUGUCAUCUUUUAAGCGCUUUGGAGUAUGGGCCGACUGGAAUAAUCCCUAUCUUACUCUAGAUCCGGAAUAUGAAGCUGCUCAGGUAGCUGAUCGAAGUAUUUGGCCAGAUGGCUUUGAAAGGCUAUAUCUACCGAGGGAGGAAACCUGUUCACUGGAGUCCCUCGUCACAGACAGCACUUGCUGAAGCUGAGUUGGAGUACCCUGAAGGUCAUGUUUCAAAAAGCAUAUAUGCCAUUUUCAGAGUUGCAAGUGCUCCUGUAAUGCCGAGUGACCUUCUACAAGAAUUCCCAAAUUUGUGUUUGGCCAUUUGGACCACCACUCCAUGGACUAUUCCUGC